UCUAUGCUAAAGUAUUGAAUUCUUUCAACACGUUACAAGAUCUAAAGUCUCUCCAUGGCCUUCUGAUACUCUACACUCUUUGACGCUUCUUUAUAUGUCGAUGGCUCUACCACUUUCUUCUCUGGCUUGCAGAGUCCUGCAAUGAAUAAAUCCACUAUCAGUGCAAAACAAAGCCUACGAACACUGAUAAGGCCUAUCUUGUAGUCUAUAAGUGAUCAAAUCCUCACUUUUACAGGCGUGCUAGACUAGCACAACCCAGCGGGAACAAAUUAUCCCUACUUUUGGCUUCAGAAGAGAUUGUGGAGAUUUGCUUAAAAACAUGAACUGAGAAAAAUUAGAUAGUAGUUCACGAUACAUGAGCGAUGAAUCUCAAGAACAAACAACAGAAAAAAAAAUACAACACAAACGAGUUGAUACACUGUCAAGGUCCUCGAGGAUACAUGUGAAUUGCAAUAUAAUAGUAACAAAUAUUCACCAGUCGGUCAGCUACGUCCGGGGAGAGCUGAGUUAGAACAUUCAGGGACAAUUUUUUGUGAAGAUAAUAGAUUGGAGAGGAGUGUGGCAUAAGAAAUGGAACUUUACUGUGAGAAUAACCGAGGCUACAAUCAGGAGAAGAGUAAAGCAUACGAGACAUGGGCAGAGAGCUACCACACACUUGCUCUCCCCGCCCUCGUUUCCCACUUUCUCCUCGUCUUCCUUCUCUUUGAUCCACUGCGAGUAGCUCCGUGGCAAAGCAUCACUACCAUUAGACUUGCCCAUUGAAAAUGGGUGUGAUCUGAUGAAUUCAAGCGGUGGCUAACAAAAUAAGAUCUAAAUUUUAGCUGACGAAGCCAGUAGUAGUGUGGUGGCUAGCUAGAGUGGUGGUUGUCUUUUGAGUAAAGAUCUCGCAAUAAAUGGCAAGGCUGUAGGUUUGUCUGUUUAGUGAAAGGAUGGACCCUUUCUCCAGGCCUGAUCAACUAGCUACUUUGCUUUGUAUAGGCCAGGCCAUGUCAGCC
Molecule: long non-coding RNA, 995 nt
Filed under: Populus tremula
Lineage: Eukaryota; Viridiplantae; Streptophyta; Magnoliopsida; Malpighiales; Salicaceae
Description: long non-coding RNA (PTRE_LNC000958)
Source: RNAcentral